CCAACUGGAAAGAGUCCAGAGAAAAGCAGAGAAAAUGGUCAGUUGUCUUGGGAAAAAAGAAAAGCCACAAGAAAGAAAGAUUGAAAGAAUUGGGCUUACUCUGUUUACAGAACAGAAGGACAACUGAACACAUGAAAACUAUCAUCUAUAUAAGUUACCUCUAAGGAGGAUUCCAAUGGAGUCUGCUACAGAAGUCUUCUUAUCUGCUGAAGCCUGCCCUCCUGAAAGAAAAGAAGCAAUAGCAGCAUCUGGAUUUCGGAUAACUAAUGUAGCCUUGGAAAAGCAGUUCUGCAUGAAGACUUGCAAUGAAACUACCCAGAAAGAUCAU
Corvus hawaiiensis (hawaiian crow) is the source of this 328-nucleotide long non-coding RNA. RefSeq lists it as uncharacterized. NCBI's taxonomy places the organism in Eukaryota, Metazoa, Chordata, Aves, Passeriformes, Corvidae. The record is from RefSeq and is a predicted model, not a curated record. The transcript has 3 exons.